This 97-nucleotide signal recognition particle RNA is filed under the name Enterovibrio norvegicus. RNAcentral describes it as "signal recognition particle sRNA small type". It matches the Rfam family "Bacterial small signal recognition particle RNA". From Rfam's summary of the family: The signal recognition particle (SRP) is a universally conserved ribonucleoprotein involved in the co-translational targeting of proteins to membranes. Archaeal SRP consists of a 7S RNA and homologues of the eukaryotic SRP19 and SRP54 proteins. In most bacteria, the SRP consists of a 4.5S RNA and the Ffh protein (a homologue of the eukaryotic SRP54 protein). RNAcentral also lists the same sequence under 6 other names. Lineage: Bacteria; Pseudomonadati; Pseudomonadota; Gammaproteobacteria; Vibrionales; Vibrionaceae. The record is from RNAcentral.
UAUUGGUUCUCCCGCAACGCUAUCUUGUGUAAUGGGUCAGGUCCGGAAGGAAGCAGCCCCCGCUUGGGACGUGUGUGCCGGGAUGUAGCUGGUAGGG